This is a long non-coding RNA of Penaeus indicus, 925 nucleotides long. RefSeq lists it as uncharacterized. The transcript is spliced from 3 exons. The record is from RefSeq and is a predicted model, not a curated record. NCBI's taxonomy places the organism in Eukaryota, Metazoa, Arthropoda, Malacostraca, Decapoda, Penaeidae.
CUCUAGAAGUAUAUAAACAUGAAAACAUUGGUCCUGUCCUUGCUGGUGGCUGUGGCUGUGGCUGAGGGACCGUUCAUUUCCUACGACGCCCCUGCAGACAACACAUCCUCGCCCAUUCAGCAGAUCCCCAUCAUCCGCGACGACCGAGUUCAACUUGGGGAUGGCAUUGUCAGGCAUAUAUACCUUCACCUUCCAAGAUGGUCAAGUCUUCGAAAUUCAGUUCGUCGCAAACGCUAAUGGUUACCAACCUCAGCCGACCUUCCUGCCCGUCGUCCCUGCCUUGCCCUACCCAAUCCCUGCCCACGCCCUCGAGCAGAUCGAGCGUGGCCGACUUGAACUUGAAGCUCGUGCCCGCGAAGAAUAACGUCAGUCAUCAAGCCAGGGACAAGCCAACACUUCUCGUCACUACGGUCAAUCUCAGUGAAGAGGUCUCUAGUGAACUUCGAAUCUUCUAUAUUUAUUGUAUUGUUUCGCAUAAAUAUAAAAAGUUAACGAUACUUUUAAACAUUCCACUGAAACUACGGAUGUCUAACUAGUUUAAGCUAAAACCAACACAUGGGUAAGAAGUUUGGACUAAAUUAUUAUUGAAGAACCUUUCUUUGAUCUGUUAUUUGAUAUAACAGAACACUAACAGUGUUUAGCUGGAUGACACUGCUGUGCUUAAUAUUUAAAUAUCUGUAACCUUACCUAAAUCAAAUCCUAAAUAGGAAUAUAGAUUAUGAAUAUUAUAGUUAAAUGAAUUACUCUUGGUCAGUGAAUAGCAGCUUUUUAAAAAUAAUUAUGAAGAUCUCAGUCUAUACGAAAAUGACUAUGUUGUUGUAGUUUGUGGAAUGGUUUUACGAUAGUCAUGUAAACAAUGCAUGUGUAUGAGGAAUGAUUACAGAUUACGAAAUGCAGAAAGCAAAAUAGAAAACCUUAUUAUAUC